UGUCUAAAUCUUCUCCUCUCUUGUAGAUCUAUUUAAACACAUCAGGCUAUACCUCAUCCUCACCAAAACAAAUCAAGCACACACCCUUAACCGAUUUAACCCCAUAUCCUCUCAAAUGCUCUCAUCUGCAAGUUAUCAAGACAUAUACACACCCCCAUACAUAAAAUUCACCUUCUACAAAACAAACAAACCCACAAUACACACACAUACCCACUAUCGAUCUUUCUCUCCCUCAAAAUCUCCGGCCGGCGACACCGGCGGAGCUCCGACGGAGCCGGCGAAAGGCGUCGGUAGCCAGCGGCGGCUUGCAGUGGUUCACGACAGCAGCGCUGUCGUAAUCGGCGGCGGUUGAUGGUGACGGCUGUGACUCCAAUGGCGGCGGAUGGAAUCUCGGUUCGAUGGGUUUAACGGUAACCCCCCCUUUUUUUGUUCGAUCUGUUAAAAAGGACCACCACCACCACCACUGUGCGGUGGUGGUGAGCGACGGCAGCGGAACAAGAAGAGAGAGAGAGAGAAGAGUCGAAGAGGAGAGAGAGAGAACCGGCGGUGGUGAUGGUGAGCGGCGGUGGCGUCUCGGACCGGCGGUCCCUGUUUCGGACCGGUGGUCCUUGCCUUGGUCCGACGGGUUUUAUCGGUGAAGUUCCUGUUCGAGUCAGGUCAGAAUGGUUUCGGCCCAGGUAAUCUUUGAAAGAUUCGGGUUUUUAUUUUCGGUGCUCCGCUCGGUUAUCAGUUUGGUUCAUAUGUCGUUCUGGUUCGGUUCAGUCAUGGUAUGGUUCAGAUUCAAAGUUUUAUUUGGGUUGUUUCAGGCUUCAGCCGUGGUUCGGGUGACGACUCGGGCUAGAUGGUAGUUAUGGUUCGAAUCGGGUUAUGUUUUUGAGUAGUUUCGGGUUUGGUCAAACCCGGUCAAAAACGGGUCAAAGCUGGUCAACAGAUAGGUUCAGGAUAGAUUCGACUCUGUCAAACCGAGUCAACUCAGCGAGGCAACUCAGCCGAUGAACUGACUCAGUCAACUCAGUCAACGUCUCGACGUGAAAGCUUGGAAUAUCGUAGAAUGCACGCUAGCGAGUCUCGUCUUGGAAAUGACAUCACGAAGUCGUAUUUAGCUAGCUUUGCACAUGGAAAUUCAGGUUACUUUUCAGAAACCAUGACACGGUUGGAAUAGGAGAACCAUUGGAGAUUCGAGUACUUAGUGGGCGUUCAAUUUCUAAAAGACUUAGCUUAUUUGCUUCCGCUGUGCAAUGAAGAUACCAGUCCAGUCACGCCAGCUCUGAUA
Molecule: long non-coding RNA, 1273 nt
Organism: Helianthus annuus (common sunflower)
Lineage: Eukaryota; Viridiplantae; Streptophyta; Magnoliopsida; Asterales; Asteraceae
Exons: 3
Source: RefSeq, a predicted model, not a curated record